GUAUAUAUAGCAAUAUUUAUGUGAACGCUAUUCAACCGGACGCUGGUUUUUGUCGGAACACUGGCCGGGGAAGAUGUAGCCGAUACUCCCACGCUCCACACCAGAUCAUACCUUCCUCUCGAACCACACUCCUCACGACACGACGAUCCCGACUCCUUCCCUAGCAUGUAACCUUGCCUUAUGUUUUGUGCUAGUAGGUCUCAUGUUUGCCAUUUCUGGACGCGUACGACGCGAGUAUUGGUUUCGUUCGGGCUACGACCGGGAGAACGUCCCACCCCCCUCCAUUGAUGCCAUUAAAAAUGUUCAUCAUUUGCAAAACCAAAACAAUAAGUACCAUCGGCCUUCCGUAAACUGAACUAAAAGCACAAAAAACCUCUUCAAAAACCAAAGACCAAAACAAAAAAGAAAAUCAAAUCCAAAAUCUUUCCCAUCAAGAUUUGCGAGAAACAGGUCCUGGUGAAACUGAUUUUUAAAAGCAACGCAACAGGAAUAACAAGUUAAACAAAAAAAAGUACGCUAGCUUAGUACUUAUCGAUAGCAGUUAGUGGUGUCCUAAUAGUUGAAUUGAGGAUUUUGUUUGACCGUGCAGUUUGUUUUACUUUACAAUUGUAUGAUAUUGUCGAUUGAUUUGCGUCAUCUUCUUGUACUUUUAUUACAAUACAACAAUUUGUCCCUUUUCUCACACUUUACACAAGUCUUGGUUACGACUUGGCUUUAGUUUACAAUCACCCACUUUGUUUUGGUAAGCGUUAAAAGAGUUUUAUUUCAUUUUUCGCAUUCUUAUCAGACUUAUUAAAGUAACGGCGCGUAUGUUUACACAGCAUUUUUAUAUGUUAUGCUCAUAAGCUGACAUACUUAUCGAGCUGCGAGUUGUUUAGGAAGUUUAAACCAGUGAAAACAUACGGAAUAAAAUCAGCUGAAAUUUUAUAAAUGUAUACUUAAACCUUAUGCAAUGCUAACAAUGACCUCUAGCCAGCGAAUUAGUGUGCUGCCUUUGGUUUAGGUACCAUCAUAUAUAGCGAGCAUGAAUAUGCAUUAAGGCUACGACAAAUCCUCUUAUCUUGCUUCUGAUGGUUAAUUUUCAAUCUUACUGCACUUGUGCCAAGAGCAAAGUUAGCGUAGAAUGCUGAGAAAAAUCAAUAUUAGUGAGAUUAUACCGUUUUAAUUCGUUUUUGUUGUUAUUAGUUGUAACCUGUAAUCCUGUUUCUCGCGUUAUCUUGAAUUUAAUAUGGUUUGUGAUUGAUUAAUUGAGGUGUGCUUUUUCUAAGCUUUCAUCCCCUUGUGGCCUUGUAAGCAAUACCCGGAAUCGAUACGGAACGGAACACAUGAAAGGGUUUGGGUCCGUAAGCAGGGCGUCAUCUCAAAUGCAACUUCAUAGCAACAGGAGUUGGUGAAAUGAUUGUCCAGAAACCGCUUUUGCAAAGAGCUAAACCAUCCACCAAGGACUAUCGAACGAAUGGACAAACGGAUCGAAAGCACAAUCCCUGCUAAGAACCAGAAAACGAAUGAACAAGAAGAAAAGAAGAGAAAUCAAUCAAGAUUACGAUAAAUGUUGAAUCGAGAUAGUAUCCCUUUGAAACAAAUGAAGAAUUCUUUAAAGUAUGGUUUUGUUUAUCACCGCGUGCACUAUGAGUAAAAGCAUUGCUUAUGAUCUGUAAAACAAGCACUUAAUAUUGUUUUAUUUUCGCUAUUGAACAAUAAAGAACAAAUAUGUUAUUAACGAUA
This is a long non-coding RNA of Anopheles moucheti, 1725 nucleotides long. RefSeq lists it as uncharacterized. Lineage: Eukaryota; Metazoa; Arthropoda; Insecta; Diptera; Culicidae. The record is from RefSeq and is a predicted model, not a curated record. The transcript is spliced from 2 exons.